This 727-nucleotide ribosomal RNA is filed under the name uncultured soil bacterium. RNAcentral describes it as "bacterial SSU rRNA". It matches the Rfam family "Bacterial small subunit ribosomal RNA", at positions 42 to 766 of the family's 1533-position model. The record is from RNAcentral.
GCAGGCCUAAUACAUGCAAGUCGGACGGGAUUGGAGAGCUUGCUUUCCAUGAGAGUGGCGCACGGGUGCGUAACACGUAUGUAACCUGCCCUUGUCAGGGGGAUAGCCUCUCGAAAGAGAGAUUAAGCCCGCAUAACAUCACAUUGCAGCAUUGCAGAGUGAUCAAAUAUUUAUAGGACGAGGAUGGGCAUGCGGAACAUUAGCUAGUUGGUAAGGUAAUGGCUUACCAAGGCUACGAUGUUUAGGGGAUCUGAGAGGAUGACCCCCCACACUGGUACUGAGACACGGACCAGACUCCUACGGGAGGCAGCAGUAAGGAAUAUUGGUCAAUGGGCGGAAGCCUGAACCAGCCAUGCCGCGUGCAGGAAGACGGCCCUACGGGUUGUAAACUGCUUUUGCAGGGGAAUAAACCCCCGGAUGUAUCCGGGGUUGAAUGUACUCUGAGAAUAAGGAUCGGCUAACUCCGUGCCAGCAGCCGCGGUAAUACGGAGGAUCCAAGCGUUAUCCGGAUUUAUUGGGUUUAAAGGGUGCGUAGGCGGCUUAUUAAGUCAGGGGUGAAAGACGGUAGCUUAACUAUCGCAGUGCCUUUGAUACUGAUGAGCUUGAAUGUACUUGAGGUAGGCGGAAUGUGACAAGUAGCGGUGAAAUGCAUAGAUAUGUCACAGAACACCAAUUGCGAAGGCAGCUUACUAAAGUACGAUUGACGCUGAGGCACGAAAGCGUGGGG